Molecule: ribosomal RNA, 356 nt
Filed under: uncultured Cellulomonas sp.
Lineage: Bacteria; Bacillati; Actinomycetota; Actinomycetes; Micrococcales; Cellulomonadaceae
Description: bacterial SSU rRNA
Rfam family: Bacterial small subunit ribosomal RNA
Source: RNAcentral
CCACCCCUUUCAGCAGGGAAGCCGCGAAAGUGACGAUACCUGCAGAAGAAGCGCCGGCUAACUACGUGCCAGCAGCCGCGGUAAUACGUAGGGCGCAAGCGUUGUCCGGAAUUAUUGGGCGUAAAGAGCUCGUAGGCGGUUUGUCGCGUCUGCUGUGAAAACCCGAGGCUCAACCUCGGGCCUGCAGUGGGUACGGGCAGACUAGAGUGCGGUAGGGGAGACUGGAAUUCCUGGUGUAGCGGUGGAAUGCGCAGAUAUCAGGAGGAACACCGAUGGCGAAGGCAGGUCUCUGGGCCGCAACUGACGCUGAGGAGCGAAAGCAUGGGGAGCGAACAGGAUUAGAUACCCUGGUAGUC